GUUUUGUGUUGAACAGGCAAAGUAUCACCGCUCCGUAUUUUAAACUGCUAACUACACACCUAUACUUCAGGAACUAUUACUACUAUGUGGAUGUAAGCAAAGUGUUCUCAUUCCCUCUUGGAUGUGUGCAGCCAGUGAGGUACGUUUUGUUUAAGGGCUUGUUAUAUCUGCUCGACGGCACGGACAGCUAACUGGGAUAGCGAGUGGAGCUAGCGGCUGCCGGAUGGAGCAGCCAGUCAGCCAGCUUGCUAACUACACACCGGUGCUUACGUCCACAUGUACUCAACGAAGUGGAAACGCCUUUGACGAUGCCACGUGCAAAGUCAUGCCACCAUCAAUGGGAAUGGCACAUUGGACACGUGGCUUUCAACUCCAGCGAGGUGGCGGCACGGAUCUCUGCAUGUCUGACUGACAUCUCCCAGUGGAUGUCCGCCCAUCACCUGAAGAUCAACCCCGACAAGACUGAACUACUUCUCUUCCCUGGAAAAAACUCGCCCACUCAGGACCUGACUGUUAACUUUGGCGAACACCGUUAACAUCAGGAGAAUACGACCCCUUCUCACUCAGAAGGCGGCGCAGGUACAGAUUCAGGCUCUUGUCAUCUCUCGCCUCGACUACUGUAACUCUCUGCUGGCGGGUCUCCCUGCUACCGCCAUACGACCACUGCAGCUCAUCCAGAAUGCAGCAGCUCGACUGGUCUUCAACCUUCUGAAAUACUCCCACACCACACCGCUUCUCCGUUCUCUUCAUUGGUUACUAGUGGCUCCCCGCAUCCAGUUCAAAGCAUUGGUACUGACGUACCACGCUGUGAAUGGAUCGGGACCAGUCUACAUCCGGGACAUGGUUAAACCCUACAUCCCAACCCAGACACUCCGAUCUGCAUCUGCCACGCUGCUUGUUCCUCCCUCACUGAGAGAAAAGCACUCGACGAGAUCGCGACUCUUUGCUGUCCUGGCUCCCAGAUGGUGGAACGAGCUCUCUGAUGACAUCAGGACUGCAGAGAGCCUCUCCAUCUUCCGUCGAAAACUCAAGACACACCUUUUUAGACUCUACCUUGACUAAAACACUAGCAAACCGUAGCACUAACAAAUGGUAGCACUUAAAUUGUACUUAUAAUGCCACUUAUCUUUAACAUGUUUUGAAACUGCUUAGUUAAUGAAAAAUGUACUUUCUUGUUACUUGUUCUUCUGAGUUUGUAUCUCUAUGUGGAAAUGCACUUAUUGUACGUCGCUUUGGAUAAAAGCGUCAGCUAAAUGACAUGUAAUGUAAAAGCCUUCUUCCUGUGUUCUUACAACAGCAUUCCAUUACAUAUCGAUGUAAUAAUUUGGCCUUCUUUUUUUCUUCCAGCACACGGCACAGGUUGGCGUCACAAUCAUGGCAAAGUUGACUGGACCACAGCGGAAAAUUAUCCUUCCAGAGAAGAAGUUAUUUACUUCUACAACGAAUGGAAGAGUUACAACUUCCAGAUGACAGCUCUCCGCUCAUCCUUCUGGGCAACUUGAACAUCCGACAGAACUUAUGUGACCUACUGCGUUUAUUUUCUCCUUUAGCUCUCAUUUAAGUAUUAAAAUUCGCUGUAUUUUUGCAAGAGAGGCACCAAUCCUAUUUGAGUGACGUUUCGAAUGUGAAAUUGUAUUGGACCAUAUAGGUCAUCUGCAGAGCGUUGGCCCCUGGCGCAGUAAACCAGGGUUUGAUUCUUGGCAUGCACAAGACUCCUCAUGUGACUUAAAAUGAAUCCAGAAUGCAAUAUUUGUUCAGUAUGCAAGGGCAGUGAUUUAUUUAGUCAUGUUUGGUCAUGUUUUGGUUUUUUUACAUGACAAUAUGGUUUGGUACAUGCUGAGUUAAUGAAUAUACAUUCUAAAGUGCAAUGUCCAUAUGUGAAUAAGAGUUGUAUACGUUUAUCAUAGUCAACAUGGUGUGGAAAUAUCCCUUAUGUAGUUGGUCAAUGGGAACUAUA
Molecule: long non-coding RNA, 1957 nt
Organism: Pungitius pungitius (ninespine stickleback)
Lineage: Eukaryota; Metazoa; Chordata; Actinopteri; Perciformes; Gasterosteidae
Exons: 3
Source: RefSeq, a predicted model, not a curated record